Molecule: long non-coding RNA, 605 nt
Filed under: Homo sapiens (human)
Lineage: Eukaryota; Metazoa; Chordata; Mammalia; Primates; Hominidae
Description: HSALNT0327558
Source: RNAcentral
GCAGGUACUGUCAGCAGGCCUCAGGCAGAAGCAGACAAGAAGGGGAAAUGCCACAAGACUAGGCCGUGCAACAUUUCCGCAGUGCUCCUCGCUACAAAGACAUUCCCCUAAGGCUGGUGGGCAACUCAACACUCAGCUCAGUACGUGGUCAGCUCGUCCUCCAUAGGAGCCUUAUGCCUUGGUGAGGAGAUCUCUGAAGAAAUUGCUGAUGAAAGUCCAACAGGCUCUUCCAGUUUGUCUGGUCGGUCACAUUUGCUGAAACCUGGAGGAAUUGUUAGUGGAAGCUCAACAGGCCUGACUCAGUCUGACUGUCCAUUCUUCUGGAAGCUGCAGAGAAAAGAAACCUGGAAACCUUAUAUGCUGACAAAAAGGGACACAAUUGGAUAUGAUGGUUAUUUUACCAAGGUUUUGAAAUGUCGUGCUUUCAAAUAUAAACAGACUGCUUUAAGGAAUCGAAGUUGACUUAUAGAGCCAAUAAAAGCCCUGCAGGAAAGCUGGCCUCAUACUUUGUCUACACAGUCUCUGUACAGGUUUCCUGACCUGUGGCUAGAAUCCCCAGUACAAUAUUGAACAUAAGUUGUCAGAGCAGAAAUCCUUGCCUUGUU